Molecule: long non-coding RNA, 2509 nt
Organism: Oncorhynchus kisutch (coho salmon)
Lineage: Eukaryota; Metazoa; Chordata; Actinopteri; Salmoniformes; Salmonidae
Source: Ensembl
ACAGAUGACUUUCGAAAAAGAAAAAUCUUAUUUUGGGUUCGAACCGCAAGUAGUUUCAUAGCGGAAAUUGAGAUCUUAAACUUUGAAAUCCUCUCUAAAAGAAUGGCUGUAAGGAACAACAAAAUAAAAGACACCCCACAUGGCCCUUAAACCCAGAGACUGACAGUCUAUCAUCAUAAAUGAAUCUCACAGUAACACACUGAGGCAGAGAGAGCAGGGAAAAACACACGAGCGCAGAGAGAGGUACCAGAAUGAAAUACUUACAUCGGUUGGCAAAAAGUGUUGCCAGACUUAUGACAUCAAAACAACUCAAUCCCGUAGAUUUCUGAUGCAUUUGGGGGGGAAGAAAGAACGAGUUAAAGACUUCUCUCAGAGCGUGCAGUGAAGCCUUUUGUCAGCAGUUGGCAUCAGUCCCAGGUAGUACAUGCCUCACGGUUCCCAUUUCCAGUAGUCAUUACAGACGUCUUUAGCUGUUCUGCACCUGCCUGUGUUUUUUGUUUUGAUUUGAACCGCUUUCACGCUUUCAGAUAAGAUGGUAAAAUUGCCCGGUCGCAAUGAGAUGAAAGAAAAGAAAAGAAAGAAAGCAACCUAACAACCAGCCACUCCUCGAACACAACCACUUUCCUUCUAUGAUUCCUACCCCUCUCCUCAGGACACUCAUGCCUCUCCGGAAGGAAACCCUCAGAGACGUCUGGACAGACGACCGGUCUCAAGAAAGUCAAGAUAUGUCCACUCCACAUAAGGUAAAAGACAAUCAUACCAAGUUUUAAAAUACAAAAAGAUACCUACAUCAGGGUGUGCCUUUGCGUACAUUUUUAAGACACUUGUUGUCCAUUUUACAUGUGUGUGUGUGUGUGUGUGUGUGUCGUUUAGUUCCUGUGUUGUGUUCGAGUCAAAGUUGGUUUGGGGGGGGGGGGGGGGGGGGUCCGUUAUCACAUGUGUAUAAUGGACCUGUGUUUGUCCUCUAACACACCUCCUCCCCUGCCAUGUUGGUUCGUCCCGUUGACGUGUCUCUGCCUUUGAAGAGCUGAUGACUUUACACAUAAAUCCUAUUAGCAACUUUCUGCUGAUUGCCAGCCAUUGAGUCCCAGGCUACUCACUCGCUUUAUUAUCUCCAUUGUGUUGAAUUUCCCCCCUCCCUCUUCCUUUUAAACUAAAAACUUUUAUGGAAAAGAGGAGUCUGUAGUUUGUUAGAGCUGAAGUCACUGGCCACACAAUGUCUGCAGAGAAGGUAACGUUAUCGAAACUGUUUUGAGGGGCUUUUCUUGUCGAAGGGACGCCGGAGAGAAGGAAUAUUCGCGAUGGGUCCUAUAAAGUUAAUAACAUUUCUCAUAUAGCAUUUUGAUUCAUUCGGAUAUACUGUAAUGGUGUUUACGAUGACUACGGGUCAAAUUACUUGCCCUCUUGAUUGCUAGACAAUUCAGUGGAUAGAAAACCGGUUGAGUGAUUGAGCAUGCUGCUGUGGUAUUGUUACAGUUCUAAAGUGACUGGUUUUACCCCAGCCUGUUGUGCGUCGUGAGUAGCCCUUCCUCACAGGAGUAGGACGGGAGCCUCCUGUUUCGUAGCGUGAGGCAGCUUCAGUUAAAAAGGACACCCUCUGGAUGCGAGUCUAUCACAAGGCCCCCAAAUCUAUCAUCUUAACGCAGAGUGCCAAGCAGAGGUGCAUUGGGUCCCAUUGGUAUCACUCGGACAGCGAUCAAACUAUUACACCUCCAAUCGUACUUUAACCGCAAGGCCAGAAUCGGUGUCUGUUGCGUAUUGAUGGUUAUGUAGAAUUGGCCACUGGGCUGUGAUGAGGCUCUGGUACAUUUGUGAGGUAACAUAUUUGCUGUGAUGUGGGAAAGGGGGUAGGGGGGGGGGGGGGUAGAGGGUCAAUGUUGACUCUCAUUCAUGAAAUAGCCAACAAUCUAUUUGAUGGACAUAUUCAGAUUUCUCUUGAAAAAAAUCCAUGAUGACCGCUUGGUCUGCAGGCCGCUAGUGGCAGCUUGUCUGAGGUGAGGACAGAAAUAGAGCCACAUCUUAAUCGGAUUACUGUGGGCCAUCCAUCGCUGCACUCCGUCGUCAGUCCGUGUUUAAAUGAACAGAAUAACAGUGACUGACCUUAUUCCAGUUUUCUUGGGAUGCUGUGGUGUGGUGAUAGUUGGUCCCCCCCCCCCACACACACACACAGCAGCCUUGUGUAAUUGAUAUGACUCUGUUUAUUACUCUAAAUCUCUAAAGCCCUACUGCUACAUUAUAAUAAUGUAACUUCAUUUUUUAACACUGGAUGUGACAAGACAUGUUUGUGAUUGAGGCAGGUGACUAAUGCUUGAUUGUUAGGUCACUGUGUCAGAAGGGCAGGUUACAUAACAUAGAAAGUAUUACCUAGAAUAUUAGAAUGAUUGUUAUCUGUUCCAAAUGUAGACAUUACUGAAUUGGCCACUCUUUCCUUUUUGAAAAUGAAUCGGUUUUAAGAGAAUGUCUUGACAGUCGUAAAAAUAUAUAAUAUGGGAUAAUCAAGUAUACUGUG